CACUCCUGCGGGAGGCAGCAGUGGGGAAUUUUGGACAAUGGGCGAAAGCCUGAUCCAGCCAUGCCGCGUGCAGGAUGAAGGCCUUCGGGUUGUAAACUGCUUUUGUACGGAACGAAACGGCCUUUUCUAAUAAAGAGGGCUAAUGACGGUACCGUAAGAAUAAGCACCGGCUAACUACGUGCCAGCAGCCGCGGUAAUACGUAGGGUGCAAGCGUUAAUCGGAAUUACUGGGCGUAAAGCGUGCGCAGGCGGUUAUGUAAGACAGUUGUGAAAUCCCCGGGCUCAACCUGGGAACUGCAUCUGUGACUGCAUAGCUAGAGUACGGUAGAGGGGGAUGGAAUUCCGCGUGUAGCAGUGAAAUGCGUAGAUAUGCGGAGGAACACCGAUGGCGAAGGCAAUCCCCUGGACCUGUACUGACGCUCAUGCACGAAAGCGUGGGGAGCAAACAGGAUUAGAAACCCUGGUAGUCCCAUG
RNAcentral lists this ribosomal RNA (474 nucleotides) under uncultured organism. Its description in RNAcentral is "partial 16S ribosomal RNA". It matches the Rfam family "Bacterial small subunit ribosomal RNA", at positions 334 to 799 of the family's 1533-position model. The record is from RNAcentral.